AAAUUCUUAAUUUGAAUCAUACCAUCGUUUUGUCUAUUGAUAUAAUGGCAAAUUUCAAGUAUUUUUCUAUUUGUCUAAUUCUCUUAUGUAUUAUCUUCGCUGAGAACUUGGAUCUUUACGAAUGUAAAAGCAGAAAACUUGUAGGUACCGAAAAUGAUAUGGAUUGGUUUGAAAAAAAUGGGAAGAAAAUUGAAAGUGAUGCAAUAACGUUGUCACCAUGCCAUAGAUUGCUUUGCAACGGGUUACAUAAUUGUUAUUGUUGUAUUGCAAAACCAGAUUUAGGAUGUUUUAAUGUGCAGGCUGAUUGUGAAAAGAUUUGCCCUUAUCAAUAAUCUCAUCUAUUUUGUAUUAAUUUCAAUAAAUUCAUGAAAUGGGUAAAUAAAAUGAUUUCAUAUUUAUCA
Molecule: long non-coding RNA, 401 nt
Organism: Gossypium arboreum
Lineage: Eukaryota; Viridiplantae; Streptophyta; Magnoliopsida; Malvales; Malvaceae
Exons: 2
Source: RefSeq, a predicted model, not a curated record